Molecule: ribosomal RNA, 458 nt
Filed under: uncultured Sphingobacteriales bacterium
Lineage: Bacteria; Pseudomonadati; Bacteroidota; Sphingobacteriia; Sphingobacteriales
Description: bacterial SSU rRNA
Rfam family: Bacterial small subunit ribosomal RNA
Source: RNAcentral
CACAAGCGGAGGAGCAUGUGGUUAAUUCGAUGAUACGCGAGGAACCGUUACCUGGGCUCGAACGUAAGAUGACUGUAGGUGAAAGCUUACAUCUCUUCGGAGCAUUUUACGAGGUGCUGCAUGGUUGUCGUCAGCUCGUGCCGUGAGGUGUCGGGUUAAGUCCCAUAACGAGCGCAACCCCUACCUUUAGUUGCCAUCAGGUUAAGCUGGGGACUCUAAAGGAACUGCCUACGCAAGUAGUGAGGAAGGCGGGGAUGACGUCAAAUCAGCACGGCCCUUACGUCCAGGGCUACACACGUGCUACAAUGGCCGAUACAGAGGGCAGCUACCUGGUGACAGGAUGCAAAUCUCCAAAGUCGGUCUCAGUUCGGAUCGGAGUCUGCAACCCGACUCCGUGAAGUUGGAUUCGCUAGUAAUCGCGCAUCAGCCAUGGCGCGGUGAAUACGUUCCCGGGCCUU